RNAcentral lists this ribosomal RNA (257 nucleotides) under uncultured bacterium. RNAcentral's name for it is "partial 16S ribosomal RNA". It matches the Rfam family "Bacterial small subunit ribosomal RNA", at positions 524 to 776 of the family's 1533-position model. The record is from RNAcentral.
UACGUAGGGGGGCAAGCGUUUGUCCGGAUUUAUUGGGCGUAAAGAGCGUGUAGGCGGCCAUACAGGUCAGCUGUGAAAACUCGAGGCUCAACCUCGAGACGUCGGUUGAAACCGUAUGGCUAGAGUCCGGAAGAGGAGAGUGGAAUUCCCGGGUGUAGCGGUGAAAUGCGCAGAUAUCGGGAAGAACACCCGUGGCGAAGGCGGCUACUCUGGGCAUUAACUGACGCUGAGGAGCGAAAGCAUGGGGAGCGAACAGG